This 2292-nucleotide ribosomal RNA is filed under the name Salmonella enterica. RNAcentral describes it as "partial 23S ribosomal RNA". It matches the Rfam family "Bacterial large subunit ribosomal RNA", at positions 1 to 2215 of the family's 2925-position model. Lineage: Bacteria; Pseudomonadati; Pseudomonadota; Gammaproteobacteria; Enterobacterales; Enterobacteriaceae. The record is from RNAcentral.
GGUUAAGCGACUAAGCGUACACGGUGGAUGCCCUGGCAGUCAGAGGCGAUGAAGGGCGUGCUAAUCUGCGAUAAGCGCCGGUAAGGUGAUAUGAACCGUUAUAACCGGCGAUACCCGAAUGGGGAAACCCAGUGUGACUCGUCACACUAUCAUUAACUGAAUCCAUAGGUUAAUGAGGCGAACCGGGGGAACUGAAACAUCUAAGUACCCCGAGGAAAAGAAAUCAACCGAGAUUCCCCCAGUAGCGGCGAGCGAACGGGGAGGAGCCCAGAGCCUGAAUCAGCAUGUGUGUUAGUGGAAGCGUCUGGAAAGGCGCGCGAUACAGGGUGACAGCCCCGUACACAAAAGCGCAUGUGCUGUGAGCUCGAUGAGUAGGGCGGGACACGUGGUAUCCUGUCUGAAUAUGGGGGGACCAUCCUCCAAGGCUAAAUACUCCUGACUGACCGAUAGUGAACCAGUACCGUGAGGGAAAGGCGAAAAGAACCCCGGCGAGGGGAGUGAAAAAGAACCUGAAACCGUGUACGUACAAGCAGUGGGAGCCCCACCACUAAGCCAGUGGUGAACUCCACAUACGCAUCCUUUGCUGAGGAUACGGUUAACGGAGCGAAAGCGACGUUCAACCGCAAAAGAAGCAGAGGGGGCUUAGUGGUGGGGUGACUGCGUACCUUUUGUAUAAUGGGUCAGCGACUUAUAUUCUGUAGCAAGGUUAACCGCAUAGGGGAGCCGGAGGGAAACCGAGUCUUAACCGGGCGUUAAGUUGCAGGGUAUAGACCCGAAACCCGGUGAUCUAGCCAUGGGCAGGUUGAAGGUUGGGUAACACUAACUGGAGGACCGAACCGACUAAUGUUGAAAAAUUAGCGGAUGACCUGUGGCUGGGGGUGAAAGGCCAAUCAAACCGGGAGAUAGCUGGUUCUCCCCGAAAGCUAUUUAGGUAGCGCCUCGUGAAUUCAUCUCCGGGGGUAGAGCACUGUUUCGGCUAGGGGGCCAUCCCGGCUUACCAACCCGAUGCAAACUGCGAAUACCGGAGAAUGUUAUCACGGGAGACACACGGCGGGUGCUAACGUCCGUCGUGAAGAGGGAAACAACCCAGACCGCCAGCUAAGGUCCCAAAGUCAUGGUUAAGUGGGAAACGAUGUGGGAAGGCCCAGACAGCCAGGAUGUUGGCUUAGAAGCAGCCAUCAUUUAAAGAAAGCGUAAUAGCUCACUGGUCGAGUCGGCCUGCGCGGAAGAUGUAACGGGGCUAAACCAUGCACCGAAGCUGCGGCAGCGACGCUGAUGCGUUGUUGGGUAGGGGAGCGUUCUGUAAGCCUGCGAAGGUGGCCUGUGAGGGUUGCUGGAGGUAUCAGAAGUGCGAAUGCUGACAUAAGUAACGAUAAAGCGGGUGAAAAGCCCGCUCGCCGGAAGACCAAGGGUUCCUGUCCAACGUUAAUCGGGGCAGGGUGAGUCGACCCCUAAGGCGAGGCCGAAAGGCGUAGUCGAUGGGAAACGGGUUAAUAUUCCCGUACUUGGUGUUACUGCGAAGGGGGGACGGAGAAGGCUAUGUUGGCCGGGCGACGGUUGUCCCGGUUUAAGCGUGUAGGUGUGUGUUCCAGGUAAAUCCGGUUCACUUUAACACUGAGGCGUGAUGACGAGGCACUACGGUGCUGAAGCAACAAAUGCCCUGCUUCCAGGAAAAGCCUCUAAGCAUCAGGUAACAUCAAAUCGUACCCCAAACCGACACAGGUGGUCAGGUAGAGAAUACCAAGGCGCUUGAGAGAACUCGGGUGAAGGAACUAGGCAAAAUGGUGCCGUAACUUCGGGAGAAGGCACGCUGACACGUAGGUGAAGUGAUUUACUCACGGAGCUGAAGUCAGUCGAAGAUACCAGCUGGCUGCAACUGUUUAUUAAAAACACAGCACUGUGCAAACACGAAAGUGGACGUAUACGGUGUGACGCCUGCCCGGUGCCGGAAGGUUAAUUGAUGGGGUCAGCGCAAGCGAAGCUCCUGAUCGAAGCCCCGGUAAACGGCGGCCGUAACUAUAACGGUCCUAAGGUAGCGAAAUUCCUUGUCGGGUAAGUUCCGACCUGCACGAAUGGCGUAAUGAUGGCCAGGCUGUCUCCACCCGAGACUCAGUGAAAUUGAACUCGCUGUGAAGAUGCAGUGUACCCGCGGCAAGACGGAAAGACCCCGUGAACCUUUACUAUAGCUUGACACUGAACAUUGAGCCUUGAUGUGUAGGAUAGGUGGGAGGCUUUGAAGUGUGGACGCCAGUCUGCAUGGAGCCGACCUUGAAAUACCACCCUUUAAUGUUU